AAGCUUAGGUUAAACUAAACCAGAGACCUUCAAAGCCUCAAACAAGAGCCCACAGCCCUCCUAGCUUCU
Molecule: transfer RNA, 69 nt
Filed under: Cyrtodactylus malayanus
Lineage: Eukaryota; Metazoa; Chordata; Lepidosauria; Squamata; Gekkonidae
Description: tRNA-Trp
Source: RNAcentral